GACUAGCUCUCGCCACUGUGUAAUUAAUACAUGGGAAGGCGCUAGUUCUACUGACAGUGAUCAGAUGCUCAUAAGCCCGGAGACCGGCCUGAGAACUUAAUUUAAG
This 106-nucleotide non-coding RNA is filed under the name Oleiphilus sp. Lineage: Bacteria; Pseudomonadati; Pseudomonadota; Gammaproteobacteria; Oceanospirillales; Oleiphilaceae. The record is from RNAcentral.